This 478-nucleotide ribosomal RNA is filed under the name uncultured bacterium. RNAcentral describes it as "partial 16S ribosomal RNA". It matches the Rfam family "Bacterial small subunit ribosomal RNA", at positions 28 to 523 of the family's 1533-position model. The record is from RNAcentral.
GACGAACGCUGGCGGCGUGCUUAACACAUGCAAGUCGAACGGUAAGGCCCUUCGGGGUACACGAGUGGCGAACGGGUGAGUAACACGUGGGUGAUCUGCCCUGCACUUCGGGAUAAGCCUGGGAAACUGGGUCUAAUACCGGAUAGGACCACUGCCUGCAUGGGUGGUGGUGGAAAGCUUUUGCGGUGUGGGAUGGGCCCGCGGCCUAUCAGCUUGUUGGUGGGGUGAUGGCCCACCAAGGCGACGACGGGUAGCCGGCCUGGGAGGGUGACCGGCCACACUGGGACUGAGACACGGCCCAGACUCCUACGGGAGGCAGCAGUGGGGAAUAUUGCACAAUGGGCGCAAGCCUGAUGCAGCGACGCCGCGUGAGGGAUGACGGCCUUCGGGUUGUAAACCUCUUUCAGCACCGACGAAGCGCAAGUGACGGUAGGUGCAGAAGAAGGACCGGCCAACUACGUGCCAGCCGCCGCAGUAA